UAUAUCAUAUGUUUAGUUCAUCAUCCGGAUGAUAUAAACAUAAUUUUUGUUUUCAUAUAACUAUUGUAAUAAUAAUUCAGAUCCUAAUAAUAAAUCUUUUUGAUAUUUCUCUUUGUUUAUCAGUAUUUGAUUCUUCGAUCGUGUCAAGAUUUAUGCGAAUAGGGCGUAUUUCGUUUUCUCGAAACCCUAAAUUCGCUCGAAAACCUAAUUUUGCGAUUGGGUUUUUUAAAUUCUAAUUUAUCUUCGUUCACUGCCUACUAGCACUGUUUGUGUUAUUGAUCUCUUCUUCUUUUUCAUUUCUUUUAUUUGCUUACGUUUGUUCUAUAUUUGCUGCAAUUAUUUUUGAUUAUUUGGUGUAUUUUUCUGUUAGUUGUGUACUUCUCUACUGCUUUGUGUGAUUAGUUUAAUGGUUGUUCUUCUCUUUUACUCGAUCGAUCUGUAAUUCUCUCUUAAAAUCUUUCUAUUCUGAAUCGUUACUUAGGUGAUGCGUAAUCAGUUUUUCUGAAUUUAUGAGUUUAUUGGUGAAUUUGUAAGUUUCUUGCUGAAUUAAUGAGUUUAUUGGUUGAAAAUUAUGUCUGAAAUUGAGUUUUAUUAAGAAUGCAUAUAAGGUGUUUGUGAUAAUGCUUGAAUGAAAGUGAAUCUGAUUUCGAUGUAGUGUUUGUCUUGGUUUAUAGUCCUGAAUGAUUAUUGCUCAGUUUAUAUCAGUAUAUGAGAGUUUUUUUUAACUCGUCACUUGAUUUACUUUUUUUUUAACUCCUUAGCAACACCUCACAAGGAAGCCAUCAAGUGCCUGGACUCUCUGAGGUGUAGGUCAGCAGCACCUCACAAGUUUGGGAAUUGCUUAAGACUUAAGAGAGGGAGUGGAGCUCGUUUUGUUGGAUCAACAAGUGCUAAUGAGCUUAGUAGCCGUUCUCACUGCCUAUUGCGAGUCACUGUUUGUGGGGAGAAUUUAGUGAAUGGAGAUAAGACUAGAAGCCACCUUUGGCUAGUGGACUUGGCAGGGAGUGAGCGAGGGGGAAAGAUAGAGCUUCAAGGUGAAAGAUUGACUGAAUCAAACUUCAUCAACAAAUCGCUUUCAGCAUUAGGAGAUGUAAUUUCUGCUGUAGCAUCAAAGGCUAGUCACACCCCUUACAGGAAUUCCAAACUUACUCAUAUCCUGUAGAGCUCUAUAGGAGGUGACUGUAAGACCCUAAUGUUUGUCCAGAUUAGCCCAAGUUCAUCAGACAUGGGAGAAACUAUUUGUUCACUGAAUUUUCAAGUCGUGCGAGUAUUGUUGAGAAUGGCCCUGCGCGCAAACAAACUGAUGAGCUCUUCAUAAAUAAGCUAUUGGUAAUUUGCCUUCGUCUAAUUGGGAUAACAAUUACCAAUAGCUUUUUUGACCUGCACCUCAUAGAGUCCAGGCACUUGUUUGUCUUGGUUUAUAGUCCUGAAUGAUUAUUGCUCAGUUUACAUGCUGUUUUUGCACAACUGCACCACAAGCUCGGGUGCAGCUGAAAGUGGAAUAUUGGGACCAUUUGGGGUUACGGUUCUUGCUGAUGAAACCCUUUUAGAGUUGACUCCUGUGAAUUACUAUCGAUAUGUAAUUUUUGUUGUUAAUUAACUUGUGACUAAUCGUGAAUUAGUACUUGAAUUAACCUCAUUGUUUUGAUAUAUAUAUGAAAUGCGUUAUUUUGAUA
This is a long non-coding RNA of Erigeron canadensis, 1676 nucleotides long. RefSeq lists it as uncharacterized. The transcript has 4 exons. The record is from RefSeq and is a predicted model, not a curated record. NCBI's taxonomy places the organism in Eukaryota, Viridiplantae, Streptophyta, Magnoliopsida, Asterales, Asteraceae.